GGUUGACCUCGGAUCAGGUAGGGAUACCCGCUGAACUUAAGCAUAUCAAUAAGCGGAGGAAAAGAAMCCAACAGGGAUUGCCCCAGUAACGGCGAGUGAAGCGGCAACAGCUCAAAUUUGGAAUCCGGCCCCGACGGGGCCCGAGUUGUAAUUUGCAGAGGGUGUUUCGGGCGCGACGCGGGUCUAAGUUCCUUGGAACAGGACGUCAUAGAGGGUGAGAAUCCCGUAUGUGACCGGCCGUCAAGCCCGGGCGAAACCCCUUCGACGAGUCGAGUUGUUUGGGAAUGCAGCUCUAAAUGGGUGGUAAAUUUCAUCUAAAGCUAAAUACCGGCCGGAGACCGAUAGCGCACAAGUAGAGUGAUCGAAAGAUGAAAAGCACUUUGAAAAGAGAGUCAAACAGUACGUGAAAUUGUUGAAAGGGAAGCGCUUGCGGCCAGACCUGCCCCCGGGCGAUCACCCGCCACUCGSUGGCGGCGCACUCGCCCGGGAUCAGGCCAGCAUCGGUUUGGGCGGCGGGACAAAGGGCCCGGGAAUGUAGCUCCCCCCGGGGAGUCUUAUAGCCCGGGCCGCCAUGCCGCCCGCCUGGACCGAGGACCGCGCUCCGGHUAGGAUGCUGGCGUAAUGGCCGUAAGCGACCCGUCUUGAAACACGGACCAAGGAGUCUAACAUCCAUGCGAGUGUUUGGGUGUCAAACCCACGCGCGGAAUGAAAGUGAACGGAGGUGGGACCCCGCGAGGGCGCACCAUCGACCGAUCCAGAAGUCUUCGGAUGGAUUUGAGUACGAGCAUGGCUGUUGGGACCCGAAAGAUGGUGAACUAUGCGUGGAUAGGGUGAAGCCAGAGGAAACUCUGGUGGAGGCUCGCAKCGGUUCUGACGUGCAAAUCGAUCGUCAAAUCUGCGCAUAGGGGCGAAAGACUAAUCGAACC
RNAcentral lists this ribosomal RNA (926 nucleotides) under Pectenia plumbea. RNAcentral's name for it is "partial large subunit ribosomal RNA". It matches the Rfam family "Eukaryotic large subunit ribosomal RNA", at positions 1 to 941 of the family's 3401-position model. The record is from RNAcentral. Lineage: Eukaryota; Fungi; Ascomycota; Lecanoromycetes; Peltigerales; Pannariaceae.